This 296-nucleotide long non-coding RNA is filed under the name Capsicum annuum. Its description in RNAcentral is "long non-coding RNA (CANN_LNC014859)". Lineage: Eukaryota; Viridiplantae; Streptophyta; Magnoliopsida; Solanales; Solanaceae. The record is from RNAcentral.
AGAAUUUAGCUCAUCUUUGCUAAAAAUAAGUAUGUCAUCAACAAUGCAUAAGUGGUUUAGUCACAUACCUUUGCACCUUUUAUGAAAAUCAAACCAUUAGCCUAGAAAAAUACUUCAUGUAAAUUACGAAUAGCAAAGGGAAAAUUGGGUCCCCUUCCCUCAACCCCCUUGCAUCCUUAAUACUUUCAUACACACCACCAUUCAGCGCAAUGCAAAAUUGACCCAUUUAUAAAUUUAUAAGGAAAAUUUAGAUUACUCAGCAUCUAUUCAAUAAAACCCACUAAAUAGAGUCAUAG